This 26-nucleotide non-coding RNA is filed under the name Rattus norvegicus (Norway rat). Lineage: Eukaryota; Metazoa; Chordata; Mammalia; Rodentia; Muridae. The record is from RNAcentral.
UGCUCACCGGCUGUAUGAAAGUAGAG